UGUGAUGAGCCAAAAAAAAUGAUGAUCAUUGAAAUGGAGCAUGAAUAAGCAAGUAGUGAAGAAGAUCAGAACGGAAAAUAGGGUUGGAAAAUAAAUGUGAGUAUUGCAAGGCAGUGGCACUAGCGCCACGUCGAAAAUGGGCACCAUGGCGCACAAAAGAAAUCAAGAUCCAACAGUAGAAUUGGCGCCACGGCGCCCAACAAAGAGGAAGCAGAGUAGUACUACUGGCACCACUGCGCCAGACUUGGGCACUGCGGCGCCGGAUCUCGAAACCCAUAAAACCCAAAAUUUUAAUUAUAUCUCGGCCCAAACAUUGUACCCUAACCGUUGAGGAGUCCUAGAAAAUAUAAAUACCAAGAUGAAGACUAAGAGGAGGGGGUUAGACAGCUGAAGAGGCAAGAGGAAAAGAAGCACCAAUUGAGAGAAGAUUGACUCGAUUUUGGAGAAGAAAUCAAGCAGCAAACUGAGUUUUCAAGCAGUAAACUGAGUUUUUUUCCUAUCUUUCGCUUCUCCAUGCACUCUAGUUUGUAUUUCAUUGCGUUUUCUUCGCCAUCAUGAAUUAAACUUUUGAAUCUAGG
This 578-nucleotide long non-coding RNA is filed under the name Olea europaea subsp. europaea. Lineage: Eukaryota; Viridiplantae; Streptophyta; Magnoliopsida; Lamiales; Oleaceae. The record is from RNAcentral.